AAUGCAGGACCUUGUGCUUAUAAGGCAGGUGGCGGAAACACUGAGCUAAAUCCCCAGUGCCCCCCUGAACUUCAUUAAACAGCCGAAAUGUGGACUUCAUGGAAGUCUUGCCUGACUCUCCACGUAAGGAAACUCCCCAUCCCACUUCCAUUAAUUUAUUCUUGUCACACCAUCUGGCUUGCUUCCACCAUGGCAUUAAUCACAACGACUCUGACAAAUGCCUUUCUGAGUACAGAGGAAAGAGAUGAUCCGCAAAAUGAUUUGGGGAGAGACAUGGGGGUUUUAUGAAAAACCUUUCCCAUCUCUCCAGGGCACAAAUUACUGAUUGAUACUCCUUAUGAAUGACUGGCCUAAGCUCAAGGCACUGAAUGGAAAAGAUGCUGCUAAUAGUUUCCUACUGCAUUUCAAUCCUCAAAACCUUCCAACUGACUGUUUACAAAGAGCACCAUCUCAAAGGCAAAAUGCAAUGCAAGUGUUUUAUGUGUAUGAAGAUGGCUGCACCAGUAACAGUUAUCUUGAAAUAUGGUGGCAGCCUACAAUCAUGGACAUCAGUUCAGCUGAAUGUAAACACCCAUUUGUUUCUCAGAAUAAGAUAAAUAGCAACAUUUUAAAUAACUUGAUGCAGAUUUGGCUUAAUUCAUCAGGUUUGUUUUAAAACUGGAACUGAUUCAUUUCUUAACAUUUCAGAUGACAAACAUUAUCAAAUUAUAUUAGCAAACAGAAAAGCAAUCCAUUGCCACUGUUUUUGAUUAUCUGAGUGUUUCCUUAAAAAGGGAAAAGAGAAAACCCAUAA
Fukomys damarensis (Damara mole-rat) is the source of this 793-nucleotide long non-coding RNA. RefSeq lists it as uncharacterized. The record is from RefSeq and is a predicted model, not a curated record. The transcript has 4 exons. NCBI's taxonomy places the organism in Eukaryota, Metazoa, Chordata, Mammalia, Rodentia, Bathyergidae.